GAUGACCGCUGGCGGCGUGCUUAACACAUGCAAGUCGAACGAUGAAGCCCAGCUUGCUGGGUGGAUUAGUGGCGAACGGGUGAGUAACACGUGAGUAACCUGCCCUUAACUCUGGGAUAAGCCUGGGAAACUGGGUCUAAUACCGGAUAGGAGCGUCCACCGCAUGGUGGGUGUUGGAAAGAUUUAUCGGUUUUGGAUGGACUCGCGGCCUAUCAGCUUGUUGGUGAGGUAAUGGCUCACCAAGGCGACGACGGGUAGCCGGCCUGAGAGGGUGACCGGCCACACUGGGACUGAGACACGGCCCAGACUCCUACGGGAGGCAGCAGUGGGGAAUAUUGCACAAUGGGCGCAAGCCUGAUGCAGCGACGCCGCGUGAGGGAUGACGGCCUUCGGGUUGUAAACCUCUUUCAGUAGGGAAGAAGCGAAAGUGACGGUACCUGCAGAAGAAGCACCGGCUAACUACGUG
This 466-nucleotide ribosomal RNA is filed under the name uncultured bacterium. RNAcentral describes it as "partial 16S ribosomal RNA". It matches the Rfam family "Bacterial small subunit ribosomal RNA", at positions 28 to 507 of the family's 1533-position model. The record is from RNAcentral.